GCGCCAGUAGCUCAAUCGGAUAGAGCAACAGCCUUCUAAGCUGUGGGUUGUGGGUUCGAUUCCCGCCUGGCGCA
This 74-nucleotide transfer RNA is filed under the name Candidatus Zhuqueibacterota bacterium. RNAcentral describes it as "candidate division KSB1 bacterium (activated sludge metagenome) tRNA-Arg". It matches the Rfam family "tRNA". Rfam says of the family: Transfer RNA (tRNA) molecules are approximately 80 nucleotides in length. Their secondary structure includes four short double-helical elements and three loops (D, anti-codon, and T loops). The record is from RNAcentral. Lineage: Bacteria; Pseudomonadati.